ACAGCCUGUAAGUGGGGCUGCCUCCUCUGUUUACAGUGGAGCAGCCCGACAGGUUAAUAAAAACUUGCUUGCCCGACUCUGGGGUCUACUCGUUCCUUCUCUUGGCUAACCCUACAUUUUGGUGCCAAAACCCGGGAAGGGCCACUCUCCCCUUCCUGAACCUGCCAAAGACCUGGAGGAUUUAUUGGACACUCCCAUUGUUGGCAACUUCAUUCAUCACUAGAGUCUACACAGGGAAAAGCCUGGCCCCCCGAGCCACUGUCCCCUCAUCAAGCUGAAGAGUAGAUAAUCACUCAUACUCCUGCAACUCCUUGGCCUGGCCACUGAAGACUGACGGGGCCCAUGGCCCCAGCACCCUCUGCCAUCACUGCAUUGGAGCCCAGGGUAACUCUACUAGAGGCAGUUUUUACAGGACCACAUCAAAACCUUCACCCAUGGAACAGUGCGAGGUAUACUGCUGCUUCAAGCAUACCAGCGGCUUCAAGAACAACCAUCCCAAGCCCCCCAAGCCUUUCCCCUUGCACACCGCCCCUCUACAGCUAGAAGCAGUCAGAUGAUAAAGUCACUCCUCUUCCUUUAUCACCUAUUAAAGGCUGGAAUGUUAGAGAGCCAAGCUACCCCUCCUCCUCCUCCAUGACCUUUGCAAUACGGUCCUUUGUGACCACCUACAAACACCUCCCCACUUUUUCUACAGCCACUUCUGCAAGACUUUCAGUAGAACUGGUAAACAGUUCCAGGAUGUGGUUAAGACAUCUGCCCACCUUGCCUAGCCAAGCUUGCCUAGCCAAGCAGGCAAAAACAUUUCCAGGAAAUGGUUGAAACACCUGCAACUCUACUCAGUUUCCCCCACCCCAACCUAGCACCUUGCCCUAUAAAACCCCACAGCAGCCUGUAAGCGGGGCUACCUCCUCCACAGUGGAGCAGCCCAGCAGGUUAAUAAAAACUUGCUUGCCUGACUUUGGGGUCUCCUUGUUCCUUCUCUUGGCUAACCUUACGCUUACUUUAAGUUUACAUGAGUCCUUGUGUGUUAAAUGAGUCUCCUGAAGGCAGCAGAUGGUUGGUGAGUUCUUACCCAUUCUGCAGUUCUGUGUCUUUUAAGUGAAGCAUUUAGGCCAUU
RNAcentral lists this long non-coding RNA (1117 nucleotides) under Homo sapiens (human). RNAcentral's name for it is "HSALNT0283132". The record is from RNAcentral. Lineage: Eukaryota; Metazoa; Chordata; Mammalia; Primates; Hominidae.